AUCUAUGGCCAUGCCACCCUGAACAAGCCCGAUCUCGUCAGAUCUUGGAAGCUAAGUAGGGUGGGGCCUGGUUAGCACUUGGAUGGGAGACCACCUAGGAAGACCAGGUGCUGUAAGUG
This 119-nucleotide ribosomal RNA is filed under the name Pteropus alecto (black flying fox). Lineage: Eukaryota; Metazoa; Chordata; Mammalia; Chiroptera; Pteropodidae. The record is from RNAcentral.